This is a long non-coding RNA of Phascolarctos cinereus (koala), 2718 nucleotides long. RefSeq lists it as uncharacterized. The record is from RefSeq and is a predicted model, not a curated record. Lineage: Eukaryota; Metazoa; Chordata; Mammalia; Diprotodontia; Phascolarctidae.
GCUAGAGAGUCUAGCUGUGGCUUCCCCAAAGAGCUCUGUAUGGGGCCUAACCAUUCUGAGUGAAUGAAUGAAAAUGCAUCUAUUAAGCUUCUCAAAGACCAGUCCCUCAACUGGAUGUAUCCUUUGACCCAGGGUUACCAUGACUGGACUCAUCCCUGUGACAGGAGAAGACAGAGGAAAGAGAGAGGAAAAAAGCUCAUACAAACAAAAGCUUCUACCCAAGUGGGCGCCCACUUCCUGGGGGAUGGCCAAACCAGUUAUAAAUAGGAAGGAAUAUUAUUGCACCACCAGAAACACAUAGGAGGGAUUCAGAGGAACUUGGAAGCCUUGAAUGAACUUGAAUAAAGAAGGGGAAGGAAGCUGAACCAAGAGGACUCAUCACCCAGGGACCACAAAGACCUCAAAGAAAGCCACUUUGCGAGUCAUGAGAACUCUGAUCCCUAAGACCAGGCCCACCCCAAGAACUGAGAGGGAAAUGCCUUCUUUGCAAACAGGCAUGGAUGCUGGCAUGAUCCCUUCUCCAGUCAGGCUUAGAAUACUGAAGGCACUUAGCCAAGAGAGAAGUAUAAGAAUAUGAUGUCCUCCUCCCCAAGCACUGCAUGAGCUUUGGAGAAGACACCUCUUCCCCAGGACGCAGAGGCCUUUGGUAUUCUUCCCUCUGCUUCCUGAUAUUUUGAGAACCCUUCCUUCAACAUCCCCUGAAAUGUGUUGCCCCCAGCACAGACCUCCUCCUCUGUGUAUUCUGGGUCAAGACCAGCUGCUCUUACAUUGUCCUUAUCUAUGAUGCCAUUUCUGCUUCCUUGUGUGCCAUACGGGGGCCUGUGAUGUUAGCCCAAAUGGUAGCUAUCUCAGCUAAAUCAGGUAUUUAUCCAGGCUCUCUUCAGAUGAGCUCCAGGCAGCUUAAGGCCAUUUUAAACAAAUCUAACCAUCUGAAAAGAACAAGGAAAUAAGAGGUCAGCAUUGGCCUGAGCUCCAAGGAAACCAAGAGAUUCCCUGAAGGUUCGAUGACUCCAGGGGUCAACGCAAGGGGAGAUGGUCCUCUGGUCACUAGCACUCUGAUCCUGAACUGCCUGAUGUUUGGCCAGCAAAGGCCUAUUUGUGAGAAACACAGACCAAAAUAACUGUCAGGACUGAAGCCAUGAAGAAGGAAUGAAUGAAUGAAUGAAUGACCUUUAGCAAGCACCCUACUAUGUGCCACAUCCUGCUCCCACCCAGGGACCCACAACCCCUAGGGAGUGUGGGGAUGCACACUGGUCCCAGGGGUGGGGAAAGUGAUGGGUCAAUCCAUCACUCGCGUUGGUCCUGCCUAAAAUUGGCAGCUCUCUGACAUGACCUCAUGGUCAGGACAAAUACCUCUUUAUGCCCUGAUAGGAAAAAACCCUGCCAUACAUGGGGGAGUAUUGAGGAUGAGGUAACAAGGCCCCGGCUGCCAACGCUUUUGAGCGCUUCCAAAACUGAAUCAGAAAUGGGCAGGAGUGGAAAAUGGGGACAUGGUUCAGGGUGGAGCCAUCAGUCUGCAUAAACUAGACAUAUGUAUUGAUCUUGGCAAGAGCCCUUCCCUGCCUCCGAUCCAAAAACCUAAUUCGAGUAAAUCGAACUGAGCUCAAGUCAGAAAGGACAUAUUGACUAAACAAGCCAAAACAAAAUGACUUCAGCCUGGUAUAGUUCUAGCAUCAGACUGCCAUGUGCCAACCUUCCUUCAGCAAGCCCAUGACCCUUGGUGGCCUUUUCCUGAAAACUCGUCUCCGAAGGUUCCAUGCCUAGGAAAGCAGGAAACUCAGGGAGGAAACAGAUGCAUCCAGCCCAAACCCACAGGCAAAAAUCCUUGGUUUAUGGGAGACAGCUGCCCCAAGGCCAUGGAGACUGGCCUGGCCAGAGGCUGAGUCACCCUUAGCAGAGAAGGUCAUCGUGCUGUGCUCACUAAGGAUGAGUGGCCGAGAGGUGCCUGACUGGAGACUGAGGGAUUUUUGUGUUCGUGAUGGGAGGACCUGACUGAGCAUGAGAGCCUGCUUAGGAAAGGACAUCUUUGAGGUGAUGGCUGCUGACCAUCCUGUGGAAGGAGGGUGCUUCAAAUGGCAUUAACGCAUUUAGUCUGAGGGCUGCUUAACACUGACCUUCCUUCUCCAUUGGGGGAUUUCAAGAUUUUAAACAAAAAUAAUGAUGAAGUGCCACACCCCCCCAAGGGCAAUGGAGAGGCAUAUGGAAGGUGGGUUGGCAACAGGUGACGGACAGAUAAUUAAAAGAGAAGUGGAGUAAAAGAUGUCAGCAAAGAAACGUGGGCGCCACCAGACAUCAAAGUACCUUAUUGGGCAGCAGUCAUCAACCCCACAUGGCGCUGGCUGUCUAAAGCAAAUGAAAACAGUCACCUAGUGCUUGAUAAGCCCAAGAACAUAAGAUAAUGGGGGCAGGACCCCCUUUUUCACAAGAACUGCCAGGAAAAUGAGAACUCAUUUUGGCAGAAAUUAGGUUGAGACCAACCAUGUUACACCAUAUACCACAGUCAGCUUAAAAUGAGUAUAUGACCUGAGCAUAAAAGGUCACAUGAUUUAAAAAAAUAGAUAAAAGAGAAUGGGAGGAGAUUCUUUUUGCCAUUAUGGCUAGGAGGAGAAUUCUUUUUUUUUUUUCAAAGUAAUGUUCUCCCCAGUUUUAUUUGUCAAAAUAGUACUUUUUAAAUGUCUAGCAAAUAAUUCCAGAAGUAUUAAAAUUUUUACAUAAAUA